CUUAAUCUAAGAAUUUUUGUUGAGGUCAAAUUUGGCAUCAAAACUAUAUUUUUUUUCUUAGUAUUUUUUUUCUUUUACUUAUUUUACUUAUUUUUCUUCUCCAUUUGUUCCUCAGUUUCAAUCUUCUUUCUUCUUUCUAACUAACCUUAGUUAUCGGUUCCUCUCCUUGUUUUCCUUCUUUUUUUUCUCUUCAAUAUCGGUUUCUAGUUAUCGGUUCCUCUCCUUGUUUUCCUUCUUUUUUUUCUCUUCAAUAUCGGUUUCUCUCCUUGUUUUCCUUUUCUUUUUUUCUCUUCAAUAGCGUUAUUCACUUGUUCCUUAUCCUAUUUCUUUUCUUGUUCAUCAACAUCAUCCAUAUUCAUUUGUUCCUCAGUCAAACAUAUUUAUUUGUUUUUCAGCAUAUUUCCUUCCUCCCCACCAAUAUUAUUCGGUUGUUCUAUUUUCCUUAUUGUUUCUUUUUACCAGUCUUAUUUAUUUACUUCUCAUAAAAGAUCUAUUAUUAAUAUUUGUCAUUAUUCAAUGUUUUUCAAAUAAAAUUUAUUUUAAAAAAUAUUUUUAAAACAAUCAAAAUUAUCUCAAAUAUAUUAUAUUGAAAAAGUCUACUUAACACUUCAUCAAUAUCAAUAUAAUAUGUAUAUUUAUCACCUACUUUAAUAAAAAG
RNAcentral lists this long non-coding RNA (658 nucleotides) under Lathyrus oleraceus (garden pea). RNAcentral's name for it is "Pisum sativum (pea) long non-coding RNA (PSAT_LNC022959)". The record is from RNAcentral. Lineage: Eukaryota; Viridiplantae; Streptophyta; Magnoliopsida; Fabales; Fabaceae.